UCUGUCAAAUAAAUAAAUAAAUAAAAUCUUUAAAAAAAAGUAAGGGCCUUUUGGGGAAAGGGCUCCAGCAGCAGACAGGUGACAGGUGACAAGGAUGAAGAAGAGAAUGGGGCCAGUGAUGGGACCCUGAGACCAGAGUGGAUUUGGGGCAAGGUGCCACCGGCCUUGCUGGGGCCACCGCCG
Molecule: long non-coding RNA, 183 nt
Organism: Lutra lutra (Eurasian river otter)
Lineage: Eukaryota; Metazoa; Chordata; Mammalia; Carnivora; Mustelidae
Exons: 3
Source: RefSeq, a predicted model, not a curated record